This 8424-nucleotide long non-coding RNA is filed under the name Citrus sinensis (sweet orange). RNAcentral describes it as "long non-coding RNA (CSIN_LNC002307)". The record is from RNAcentral. Lineage: Eukaryota; Viridiplantae; Streptophyta; Magnoliopsida; Sapindales; Rutaceae.
CUGUUUCCUUAUUAAUGGAGAAAGGCAGUUAUGUUUUUGCAGCGGUCAAGGGCAUUGAAGAUAUUAUGGCUUUACUUAUCAUCGUUAGCUUCCUUCUGUGUCUCCCAUUCUUCCUCUUCUUCUUUGUUUUGCAAAGGCACAAAACCUCGAAAAAUAAUACUAAAUUACCACCAGGCCCCCGGGGCCUUCCCUUCAUCUGUAACUUACAUCAGUUUGAUGUCUCAAAGCCUCAUGUGUCAUUUUGGGAACUAUCGAAAAAAUAUGGCCCCCUCAUGUCCUUGCGUCUUGGUUUUGUGCCGUCCUUAGUAGUUUCCUCAGCAAAAAUGGCUAAAGAGAUAUUGAAAACCCAUGACCUUCAAUUUUGUAGCAGGCCAGCCUUGGUAGGGCAACAAAAGUUAUCUUACAAUGGUCUUGAUUUGGCUUUUUCACCCUAUGAUGAAUAUUGGAGAGAGAUUAGAAAAAUUUGUGUCAUUCAUCUCUUAAACUCUAAUAAGGUACAAAAUUUUCGACCCAUUAGAGAAGAUGAAGUUUCAAGAAUGAUUGAAAAGAUUUCAAAAUCAGUUGCUGCUUCUAAGCUCGUAAACUUAAGUGAGGUAAUGAUGUCUCUUACUAGCACUAUUAUUUGUAGAAUUGGUUUUGGCAAGAGGUACGAUGAAGAUGAAGCAACAAGUGCAAGAAGUAGAUUCCAAGCCUUGCUUAAUGAAACUCAAGCCUUGUUUGUAAGCUUUUUUGUUACAGAUUAUUUUCCUUUCAUGGGCUGGAUUGAUAAGUUCACAGGAAAGAUGCAACGUCUGCAAAAUAACUUCCAAGAACUUGAUAGAUUCUACCAGGAACUCAUCGACGAGCAUUUGGAUCCAAACAGAACAAAAUCAAAAUUGCCGCAACAGGAGGAUAUAAUUGAUGUUUUACUUCAAAUACGAAAAGAUCGUGGAUUUAAAGUUGACCUGACUUUGGAUAACAUCAAAGCAGUGCUCAUGGUGGAUAAUUUUAUAAAUAGUUAUAUGUAGACUCGUGCUUAGGCGCAGACUCAAAAUUUUGUGCAGAUGCCCAAUUUUACAGUGUUGUAAAACGUUUUAUAAUGCUGUAAAGUGCUCUUUGACGUCUCCGCCUGAGCAUGAUUAAUUUAAUAUAAUUUUAUUCGCUUUAACUAAUUUAAUAUGUAUAUUGUUUGCUUUGCAGAACGUAUUCGUUGCUGGAACAGACACAAGUGCAGCAACUGUGGUUUGGGCCAUGACCUACCUAACGAAGAAUCCUAGAGCAAUGAAAAAAGUUCAACUGGAAAUUAGAUCGUUGAUUGGGGGCAACAAAGGCUUUGUCAAUGAAGAUGAUGUUCAAGAACUACAUUAUCUUAAAGCCGUAGUGAAGGAGACAAUGAGAUUGCAACCUACAGUGCCGUUACUACUUCCAAGAGAAGCAAUUCAAAAGUGCAUAGUAGAAGGGUAUGAAAUACCAGCUAAAACACGUGUUUUUGUAAAUGCAUGGGCGAUAGGGAGAGAUCCUGAAGCUUGGCAGAAUCCUGAGGAAUUUUAUCCGGAGAGAUUUGUUGAUAGUUGUAUUGACUUUAAAGGGCAAAACUUUGAGUUAAUACCGUUUGGUGCUGGCAGAAGAAUUUGUCCUGGGUUGAAUAUGGGAAUUGUAACUGUGGAGCUUGCACUUGCUAAUCUUCUUUACAAAUUUGAUUGGGAAAUGCCGCCUGGAUUGAAGAGCCAUGACUUUGAUGUUCUGCCCGGACUUGCCAUGCAUAAGAAGAACGUUCUUUCUCUUCGGGCUAAGUAUCAUGUUGAGUAGGUAAAUUAAGGCACCUCCAUCAAUAAGAAGGUAAAUUAAGGCACCUCCAUUAAUAAGGGUUUGAUCUAGCUAAAGGAAAUAUAUGUUAUGCGUCCUCAAUUGUGCUUCUCAAUGUUUUCUUUCUUUCUUCUUAUGUAUAAUGGAUGUUUACGCGAAUGGUUUUUAGUAAGUAAUUUUCUUUUAGUUCAAAAUUUUGGGAGGUAAGGGCUAGAAGAUAAUAGGGACUCUGCCCACUCUCUUAUACCUUUAAAAAAAUGAUAUGAAUGUGAGUAUCAAUUUAUCACAUUUAUUUUGUCUUACAUUUUUCUCUCUCCAAUUUCAAAUUAUAAAUGUAUAUAUAAAUACACGAAACGACCAAUCAAUAUUAUUUACUUGAUAUAACUAAUAAGUAAAUUCAUGGCUUUUUCUAUCACCCCUUUUUUUGUUAGGAGUAUCAGUAAAAUCAGCUCUGUAAUGCUCUACAUCUUUACCGUGAAAGCUGCAUUUUUAUGGAAUCAGCUUACAGUUAUGUACUAACCAAAAAAAAAGAAAAAGAAUAUUACAUCAAUUCUUCAUUGAGAUUUGAGACAUUUUCUUCCUCCAGAAAGUAUACAAGUUAAAAAAACUACACAUCAUUGUGAUUUCAUAACAGCAUCAUCCAUCACUUUCCUAUGAGCUUUUUAUGAGGCCGGAGGCUAAAGCACAAUCAGUUGAGCUUUUAUUGCAUUUCCCACAGCAAGACUGUGGCAAAUCAGUUGACUUUUGACGUUAAAUGGUGGUUUCGGCUUGCAGUCACUUGUGUUUGUUCAAUUUCAAUAAAGGAAAUUUCCCCACUCUCUUAUACCUUAAAAAAAUGAUAUGAAUGUCAGUAUCAAUUUAUCACGUUUAUUUUGUCUUACAUUUUUCUCUCUUGUUCGCUGUUCAGUAAAACUAAAACAACACCAAAACUUAAAUAUUUUCGCUAUAUCACAAACUUAAAUAUUUUUUUUUUUUCCCCCUAUACAUCCCUAGUAAGGUUGACAGAAAAAAACCAAAUUUCAAUCGGUAUUGGGAUCCCCUCCCGAAUGAUAGGGGAUUUGGCACUAAUUUUUAAAAUCGAUUCGAUACUAAUUUUAACAAACACUUGCUUUAAACCAACUUAUUCUUCUACCACAUAAUUUACUUAACUUUCAUUACAUGAAAAAUAGUCAUUUUUUUUACCUAACUUGUUCGACAAUAGUUAAAUAUGUUGGUGAGAGGGCAGUUUUCAAUUGUAAAAAUCAAGACAUCGAGAAAAACUAAAAUGGCUAUUUGGUUUUUCUAAUGAAAAACUAAAACAACUAUAUGGUUUAGCGUGAAAUUUUAGCUUCAUUGGUAUUUAUGACGAUUGUAACUAACCAUUAAAAAUGCAUAAUUAUUUUCUACCUGUAGUGAUUUAGGUGCUGUAGAAUUCGAUUAGCAAUCUAAGCACUGCCCAAGAUCACAAACCAGAUCCACUAGAUGCUAAGAACCCAAACAAUCAAGCUGAUUUUUCAGGCUGUCAAUUGAUUAAAUCCUAUGAUCGUAUCUAGGGUUGUCUAUUGUUUAGGGAAAUAUCCAACGGUCGUACCUUGGUUAUUGACUAGAAUUUUUUUUUUUUCCCCCUAUACAUCCCUAGUAAGGUUGACAGAAAAAAACCAAAUUUCAAUCGGUAUUGGGAUCCCCUCCCGAAUGAUAGGGGAUUUGGCACUAAUUUUUAAAAUCGAUUCGAUACUAAUUUUAACAAACACUUGCUUUAAACCAACUUAUUCUUCUACCACAUAAUUUACUUAACUUUCAUUACAUGAAAAAUAGUCAUUUUUUUUACCUAACUUGUUCGACAAUAGUUAAAUAUGUUGGUGAGAGGGCAGUUUUCAAUUGUAAAAAUCAAGACAUCGAGAAAAACUAAAAUGGCUAUUUGGUUUUUCUAAUGAAAAACUAAAACAACUAUAUGGUUUAGCGUGAAAUUUUAGCUUCAUUGGUAUUUAUGACGAUUGUAACUAACCAUUAAAAAUGCAUAAUUAUUUUCUACCUGUAGUGAUUUAGGUGCUGUAGAAUUCGAUUAGCAAUCUAAGCACUGCCCAAGAUCACAAACCAGAUCCACUAGAUGCUAAGAACCCAAACAAUCAAGCUUUAAGUUUCAACAAAACCUUUAACGAAAAUGGCUUAAUCAGAACACACUCAGAACAAGAAUUAGAAACCAAUCACACCCAAAAGAAAGAGAAAUAUUUACGUGGUUCGAUUGUGCAAAGAAGCACAAUCUGCAUCCACGGGAGAAGCCCACCCACAGAGCAAGCUUUAUUGAUGAUUCAAGUAAUCUUUACAGAGCAAUACAAGAGCUAACUACUAGGAUCAAGAAGAAGAGUAGGAAUUUAUUUUUGUUGGCUUCGACACCCAUCAAGUAGGUAAAUUAAGGCACCUCUAUCAAUAAGAAGGUAAAUUAAGGCACCUCCAUUAAUAAGGGUUUGAUCUAGCUAAAGGAAAUAUAUGUUAUGCGUCCUUAAUUGUGCUUCUCAAUGUUUUCUUUCUUUCUUCUUAUGUAUAAUGGAUGUUUACGCGAAUGGUUUUUAGUAAGUAAUUUUCUUUUAGUUCAAAAUUUUGGGAGGUAAGGGCUAGAAGAUAAUAGGGACUCUGCCCACUCUCUUAUACCUUAAAAAAAUGAUAUGAAUGUCAGUAUCAAUUUAUCACGUUUAUUUUGUCUUACAUUUUUCUCUUUUCUCUCUAUCUUAACUCUCUCUAUCACGCUCUCAGAUCAUCCAUGAAACUGCUUCUUUAACCAGCUUAUAUAGCAGCUGAUAAAGAACCCAGAAGCUGCAGAUUUCCGCCACCUGGACUAACAGCUUCUAACUGAUUUGAUUCUCCACCCCCCGUGCACUUCACAUGUUUCACUUAAGCCUUUUGCCGAAACGUCUCCAGCUCCUGCCGUUUUGAACUGAAGUGAAUCACAUGCCAUGCUCGUGACUCCUGAGUAUAUUAAACAUAUUCCAAACGCUGUCGUUUAACAUGCUCAAGUUUUGGAUUCAGCAUUUUAGUCCACACUACCGUUUCAAAAACAUAGUCGAAAAUAAAAUAAUAUUUUCAAUUAUUGUAAUUUUUAAUCAAAAAUAGAAAAAUAUUCUUAAAUGUAACUAGGAGUUGGUUGAAAAAACCAUUAAAAAGAUAUAAAAUUUUAACAGACAACAUGGGCACCAAUAAUGCUUUUCACUACUAUAACUUGCAAGGUUGGUCAAAGCAAAAGCUGUAAGGGUAAGUAAAUAUAAUAUAAAAUUAUAUAUCAUCUAAAAGAAAAGUAAUUGUAAGUUUUUUUUCUUAGUUUACUAUUUUUUUUUAUCAAACAUGAACUAGAUAAUUAAAUAAAUAAUUAAUUAAUUAAUGUACUUUUUUUUAUAGAAUUAAUUAAUGUACUUAAUUGAAAAUAAAAUUAACUUCUACGAUGCAAAUAGAAUUUGAGCCCUUAACUGAAAAGAUAAAAUAUGAAAGUGCCUACCACUUGAGCAAGAAAUAAUUUUCAGUAAAUUAUAAAUUAAAUAAUUAUGAAAGGAUUGAUUUUUUCUAAAGGUUUUACUAGGUGCAAUGAUUAGUAUUAAAAAUUGUUUAAUUAUCAAGCGAUAAUAUGUUAUUUUAUGCUUAUGUUAUAAUUUAUAUUUGUGUUUAUGUAAUAUAUUAUGAAUUAUUAAUUAUGUUUUAAAUAUAUUUAAUUUUGUGUAUUUUUAUGUGUUUAUUAGGAAAAUUAUUAAUUUCACGUACUUCGAGGCUCCAAACAGAUAAACGGAGGUCAAAUUUGGAUUCCGGAGGUCCGAAAACCUUAAGAUCCGUGUAAGGUUGAUAGAAAAAACCAAAUUUCAAUCGGAAUUGGGAUCCCCUCCCGAAUGAUAGGGGAUUUGACACUGAUUUUUAAAAUCGAUUCGAUACUAAAUUUAACAAACACUUGCUUUAAACUAACUUAUUCUUCUACCACAUAAUUUACUUAACUUUCAUUACAUGAAAAAUAGUCAUUUUUUUUUUUUACCUAACUUGUUCGACAAUAGUUAAAUAUGUUGGUGAGAGGGCAAUUUUCAAUUGUAAAAAUCAAGACAUCGAGAAAAACUAAAAUAGCUAUUUGGUUUUUCUAAUGAAAAGCUAAAACAACUAUAUGGUUUAGCGUGAAAUUUUAGCUUCAUUGGUAUUUAUAACGAUUGUAACUAACCAUUAAAAAUGCAUAAUUAUUUUCUACCGUUUUAAAAACAUAGUCGAAAAUAAAAUAAUAUUCUCAAUUAUUGUAAUUUUUAAUCAAAAAUAGAAAAAAUAUUUUUAAAUGUAACUAGGAGUUGGUUGAAAAAGCCAUUAAAAGGAUAUAAAAUUUUAACAGAAAACAUGGGCACUAAUAAUGUUUUUCACUACUAUAAAUUGCAAGGUUGGUCAAAGCAAAAGCUAUAAGGGUAAGUAAAAAUAAUAUAAAAUUAUAUAUCAUCUAAAAGAAAAGUAAUUGUAUGUUUUUGUUUCUUAGUUUACUAUUUUUUUUAUCAAACAUGAACUAGAUAAUAUAAUAAUUAAUUAAUUAAUAUACUUAAUUGAAAAUAAAAUUAACUUCUACAAUGCAAACAGAAUUUGAACCCUCAACUGAAAAGAUAAAAUAUGAAAGUGCCUACCACUUGAGCAAGAAGAAAUUUUCAGUAAAUUAUAAAUUAAAUAAUUAUGAAAGGAUUGAUUUUUUCUAAAGGUUUUACUAGGUGCAACAAUAUUGAAUUACCUUAUUUAACUUAAAAGAUACCAUUGAUUGAUUACAGCAUAGAUAUAACUUACGAUAUCUUAAACUCUAUAAUAUUUAUGAUCCCAUUCUAUCUUAUACACAAACUUGAAACUUAUGUUAAUUAAGUCUCAACUAUUUUAAUCAUUCUCAUUGAAUCAAUUUAGAGAUUGAUUAUCGAACUAGCUGGUAUUUUAUAGUUAAGUAUUUAAAGAAAUAAUAUCUAUGAUUGAUCAUAAUUAUUGUUGAAUCAAUUUGGAGACUAGCUAAUUUUCAAAUUAAUGUAAUUAUCUAGUGGUCAAUUUUACUAAAUAGAGUCUAAUAGUUUUCAUAAUUGUGGAACAUGGAACGUAUACUUCAUACUUAAAACUUAUUGCAUAUAUUAAAAAAAUUAGAUGAUUAGUAAUUAACAUUUAAUUAUAGUUGAAAUAUUGAUUAUUAAAUUAGUCUAAUUGUCUAAGAACAGUCAUACAAUUAAUUUCAACAGAUAACAAGAACUAUUGCAAUAAUUUAUUUAUAUUUUGAAACAUAUCUCAACUAUGAAUUAUUAAAACUAAUAUAGCUUCUUAGUUUUUACGCCAAUAUCUAUUUUCGUCUUUUGUUUAUCUUAUUAAUUUAAAUUUAAAAUCUAUGUUAAAGAUGUUCUAUCAAUCAAUUUACGCUAUUGCAUUAAUGAGAUAAAAUUGUUUUGCAAUUAAUCGAAUCGUAAGCUAAUAAUUUUCAAUAUUUAUUAUUAUUUCAAUAUUUAUUAGUGUGAAAUAACUAACUUAGGAUAAAUAAAUAAAUAGAUUGAUUUUUUCUUAAAUUUUAAUAUCUUGUAUUAUCCCUAUUAACUAUUUGGUCCACUUAAUUACUAUAAUGCCCCAUAAAUAACAUAUUUUUUAUUGCAUAACUGAUUAGAACUAAUAUUUUUUCGACUGUAAUUUAUUUAUUUUAAACCGUUUUUACCCCUAAAAAAUAGUGUAUUUGUAAUGGUAAUUAGUUAGUUGAAAUUGAUCUUGCAAAUACAACUGCUAUCGAAAAUACUCUUUUCUACUACUUAAGGUGAUCAUAAAUAUUAAUCAUUAGUCACAUGUCCAUACUAGUUUUCAAUCUAUAUUUAUGUACUUAUGAUCGUCAAUUUAUCACCAAAUAAGCAUAUUUAUGGCGGCCUAUUGGAAAAAGUGUAUUUCUAACCUGGGUAUUAGCGAUUACCAACGACUAAUUAAGGCCACUGGAAAAACACAUUUUCAACAGCGUAACACUUGUUUCAAUUGUAUUCAGCAGUCUUAAAAAAUUAUUUUUAUGACCAACUGUAGUUGCCUGGCGAACAUAUUUACCACACAUAAAAACUAAAACAUCCGAGAUUUUUCUUUAGAUACUUCUAUAGAUAUUUUAACAUUUUAGAUUACAAUAUUUUUCAACACUUGAUUUUAUCAUUAAUUGUUGACUAUGGUGACGACAAAAAAUCUAUUUCAUUGUGCUAACCUCACAAGUGAAAAGGACUUCACAAGAGUACAAAACAGAGCCUUGAUCUAAUAAUAUUACCGAAUAUAGCAUUUUGUUUCCUUAUAAAUGCAGAGAGGUUCUGUCUUUGCAGUGAUUAAGGCAAGGGCAUAAAAGAUAUUAAUGGCUUUACUUAUCGUCAUCAAUCUCCUUCUGUGUCUCUCAAUCUUCGCCGUCUUCUUUGUUUUGCAAAGGCACAUAACCUCCAGAAAUAAUACUAAAUUACCACCAGGCCCGCAGGGCCUUCCCUUCGUUGGUAACUUACACCAGCUUGAUGUUUCAAAGCCUCCAGUGUCAUUUUGGGAACUGUCAAAAAAAUAUGGGCCCCUCAUGUCCUUGCGUCUUGGUUUUGUGCCAUCCCUAGUAGUUUCCUCAGCAAAAAUGGCUAAAGAGAUAUUAAAAACCCAUGACCUUCAAUUUUGUAGCGGGCCAGCCUUGGUAGGACAACA